GACGAACGCUGGCGGCGUGCUUAACACAUGCAAGUCGAACGGAAAGAGAUGAAAGAGCUUGCUCUUUUAUUAAUUUCAGUGGCAAACGGGUGAGUAACACGUAAACAACCUGCCUUAAGGAUGGGGAUAACAGACGGAAACGACUGCUAAUACCGAAUACGUUCUAAGCAUCGCAUGAUGCAUAGAAGAAAGGGUGGCCUCUACAAGAAAGCUAUCGCCUUAAGAGGGGUUUGCGACUGAUUAGGUAGUUGGUGAGGUAACGGCUCACCAAGCCGACGAUCAGUAGCCGGUCUGAGAGGAUGAACGGCCACACUGGAACUGAGACACGGUCCAGACUCCUACGGGAGGCAGCAGUGGGGAAUCUUCCGCAAUGGACGAAAGUCUGACGGAGCAACGCCGCGUGAACGAAGAAGGUCUUCGGAUUGUAAAGUUCUGUGAUUCGGGACGAAAGGGUUUGUGGUGAAUAAUCAUAGACAUU
RNAcentral lists this ribosomal RNA (478 nucleotides) under Dialister pneumosintes. RNAcentral describes it as "bacterial SSU rRNA". It matches the Rfam family "Bacterial small subunit ribosomal RNA", at positions 28 to 476 of the family's 1533-position model. The record is from RNAcentral. Lineage: Bacteria; Bacillati; Bacillota; Negativicutes; Veillonellales; Veillonellaceae.